Molecule: ribosomal RNA, 402 nt
Filed under: Triticum aestivum (bread wheat)
Lineage: Eukaryota; Viridiplantae; Streptophyta; Magnoliopsida; Poales; Poaceae
Description: partial small subunit ribosomal RNA
Source: RNAcentral
AUGUGUUGUCCCAGAUCCAGAUGGGUUGGUUUUGAGUUAUUGUUUGGGUUAGAAAAUUUUCAAACCAUGCAUCUGUUAACAUUUAGAGAAAACUACAUGUGUUUAUUUUGGGUUGUAGUUCAUAGAGCACUUCCAUGUUGCCGUGGAUACUGGGUGCUGCUCUGCCAUGCUUAUUUGUCUCAUUUUGCUUUGUUCUUUUUUGCUUAUAUGGUGAUCUCCUUUUUUCCUUAUGUUAGCAGUGAGUUAUUUCUGUUUUUCUGGUUUUCCAUUGCUCCUAAAAUGUACAUCAAAAUCAGUGUGGCUGUAUUCAGAGAGAUGAGCUACUAUGUAGACAUUAUUUGUUUUUGUUAUGUACUUGGUUACUUAAUAAUCAUUCUUGAUAUUGAAAAGGGACAGAAAUAA